CGGCGACUGAAGCGGGAACAGCUCAAAUUUGAAAGCUGGCACCUUCCGGUGUGUCCGNCGUUUGUAAUUCUUCGAGAAAGUGUUUUUCCCGUGCUGGGACCCAUGUACCAAGUUUCCUUGGAAUUAGGACGUCAUAGAAGGGUGAAAAUUCCCGUACUUGACAUGGACGCCCAGUGCUUUGUGAUACACUCUCCACGAGUCGAGUUGUUUGGGAAUGCAGCUCAAAAUGGGUGGUAAAUUCCAUCUAAAGCUAAAUAUUGGGGAGAGACCGAUAGCGAACAAGUACCGUGAGGGAAAGAUGAAAAGCACUUUGGAAAGAGAGUUAAACAGUACGUGAAAUUGUCGAAAGGGAAGCGCUUGAAGUUAGACAUGCUUGCCGGGAUUCAGCCUUGCUUUUGCUUGGUGCAUUUCCCGGUGUGCAGGCCAGCAUCAGUUUUGUUUGCCGGAUAAGGGUGAGAGGAACGUGGCCCCUCGGGGUGUUAUAGCCUCUCACUGGAUACGGCGGAUGGGACUGAGGACCGCAGUGUGCCUUUAUGGCGGGCCUUCGGGCAACCUUCACACUUAGGAUGCUGGCGUAAUGGCUUUAAGCGACCCGUCU
This 598-nucleotide ribosomal RNA is filed under the name Quambalaria eucalypti. RNAcentral's name for it is "partial large subunit ribosomal RNA". It matches the Rfam family "Eukaryotic large subunit ribosomal RNA", at positions 87 to 654 of the family's 3401-position model. Lineage: Eukaryota; Fungi; Basidiomycota; Exobasidiomycetes; Microstromatales; Quambalariaceae. The record is from RNAcentral.